This 500-nucleotide ribosomal RNA is filed under the name uncultured bacterium. RNAcentral describes it as "partial 16S ribosomal RNA". It matches the Rfam family "Bacterial small subunit ribosomal RNA", at positions 30 to 523 of the family's 1533-position model. The record is from RNAcentral.
AUUGAACGCUAGCGGCAUGCUUUACACAUGCAAGUCGAACGGUAACAGGGUGCUUGCACCGCUGACGAGUGGCGAACGGGUGAGUAAUGCGUCGGAACGUGCCGAGUAGUGGGGGAUAACGCAGCGAAAGUUGUGCUAAUACCGCAUACGUACUGAGGUAGAAAGUGGGGGACCUUCGGGCCUCACGCUAUUCGAGCGGCCGACGUCUGAUUAGCUAGUAGGUGAGGGAAAGGCUCACCUAGGCGACGAUCAGUAGCGGGUCUGAGAGGAUGAUCCCCCACACUGGGACUGAGACACGGCCCAGACUCCUACGGGAGGCAGCAGUGGGGAAUUUUGGACAAUGGGCGAAAGCCUGAUCCAGCCAUGCCGCGUGUCUGAAGAAGGCCUUCGGGUUGUAAAGGACUUUUGUCAGGGAGGAAAUCCCUAGUGCUAAUAACACUGGGGGAUGACAGUACCUGAAGAAUAAGCACCGGCUAACUACGUGCCAGCCGCCGCCGUAA